Meleagris gallopavo (turkey) is the source of this 335-nucleotide non-coding RNA. Lineage: Eukaryota; Metazoa; Chordata; Aves; Galliformes; Phasianidae. The record is from RefSeq and is a predicted model, not a curated record.
UGUUUUUUGUUUGUGUGUUUGUUUUUUAGAAGUCAAGUCUUUCUUUUCUGAAAAUGUUUUAUUACCGUCUUUAAGGAAUAUCAAAUUCACCAGAGCACCGACAUGACCGAUCCCCAAAGUGCAGUGAAUUGGAGGCAAGGUGAUGAAAAAGAAAAGAGUUGCAUUUGAAUGAGAGAUCAAUCACAGAGACUGAAAGCGACAGCCCUACCACAUUUGUUUGUGGACUAUGGAGAUAGGCAGAAAGGAUAAGCAAUUGACAAGGAGGUAAGGAAAUCCGUAUUUGGGUUUCAUUCAACUGUCUUGCAAUUGGAGUUGUAAACAAAUGUGGAAUUUAA